Molecule: long non-coding RNA, 207 nt
Filed under: Salvia miltiorrhiza (redroot sage)
Lineage: Eukaryota; Viridiplantae; Streptophyta; Magnoliopsida; Lamiales; Lamiaceae
Description: long non-coding RNA (SMIL_LNC003207)
Source: RNAcentral
GGCCCGCGUCCGCGGCCUUCAAACGUGGGGGAGAGUCAGGGGACCCGCGGUCCCACCCCGCGGCCGCGGGUGGUGACCGCGGGUGUCUCCUGAGUCGGGGGCAGCUGACCCGCGGUCCCACCCCGCGGCCGCGGGUGGUGACCGCGGGCUACUGGGCGUAUUGCGCAGGCCGCUCGUUUUGCUCCGUUCUCCCUCGUCCGGACUCGG